Molecule: ribosomal RNA, 290 nt
Filed under: uncultured Actinomycetes bacterium
Lineage: Bacteria; Bacillati; Actinomycetota; Actinomycetes
Description: uncultured actinobacterium partial 16S ribosomal RNA
Rfam family: Bacterial small subunit ribosomal RNA
Source: RNAcentral
GAGUUUGAUCUUGGCUCAGGACGAACGCUGGCGGCGUGCUUAACACAUGCAAGUGGAGCGACGAACCAGGGCUUCGGCCUGGGGCAGAGCCGCGAACGGGUGAGUAACACGUGGGUAACGUGCCCCCGAUGGACCGGGACAACCCCGGGGAAACCCGGGCUAAUACCGGAUGUGCUCCCGCCACACCGAGUGGCGGUGGAAAGGAGCUUCGGCCUCCGCAUCGGGAUCGGCCCGCGGCCCAUUAGCUUGUUAGGUGAGGUAACGGCUCACCAAGGCCGCGAUGGGUAGCU